Molecule: ribosomal RNA, 253 nt
Filed under: uncultured bacterium
Lineage: Bacteria
Description: partial 16S ribosomal RNA
Rfam family: Bacterial small subunit ribosomal RNA
Source: RNAcentral
UACGUAGGGUCCGAGCGUUGUCCGGAAUUAUUGGGCGUAAAGGGCUCGUAGGCGGUUUGUCACGUCGGGAGUGAAAACUCGGAGCUUAACUCCGAGCCUGCUUCCGAUACGGGCAGACUAGAGGUAGGCAGGGGAGAGCGGAACUCCUGGUGUAGCGGUGGAAUGCGUAGAUAUCUGGAGGAACACCGGUGGCGAAGGCGGCAUCCUGGACCGAGAUUGACGCUGAGGCGCGAAAGCCAGGGGAGCAAACGGG